This 72-nucleotide transfer RNA is filed under the name Camelus bactrianus (Bactrian camel). It matches the Rfam family "tRNA". Rfam says of the family: Transfer RNA (tRNA) molecules are approximately 80 nucleotides in length. RNAcentral also lists the same sequence under 2 other names. Lineage: Eukaryota; Metazoa; Chordata; Mammalia; Artiodactyla; Camelidae. The record is from Rfam by way of RNAcentral.
GAGGGUAUGGCUCAGUGGUAGAGCACACGCUUAGCAUGCAUAAAGCCCUGGGUUCAAUCCCCAGCACCUCCA